CAUGGCUCAGAUUGAACGCUGGCGGAAUGCUUACACAUGCAAGUCGAACGGUAGAGGGGGCAACCCCUUGAGAGUGGCGAACGGGUGAGUAAUAUAUCGGAACGUGCCCAGUCGUGGGGGAUAACGUAGCGAAAGUUACGCUAAUACCGCAUACGCACUGAGGUGGAAAGCAGGGGAUCGCAAGACCUUGCGCUAUACGAGCGGCCGAUGUCAGAUUAGCUAGUUGGUAGGGUAAAGGCCUACCAAGGCGACGAUCUGUAGCGGGUCUGAGAGGAUGAUCCGCCACACUGGGACUGAGACACGGCCCAGACUCCUACGGGAGGCAGCAGUGGGGAAUUUUGGACAAUGGGCGAAAGCCUGAUCCAGCCAUGCCGCGUGAGUGAAGAAGGCCUUCGGGUUGUAAAGCUCUUUCGGCUGGGAAGAAAUCGCACAGGCUAAUACUCUGUGUGGAUGACGGUACCAGCACAAGAAGCACCGGCUAACUACGUG
RNAcentral lists this ribosomal RNA (489 nucleotides) under uncultured bacterium. RNAcentral describes it as "bacterial SSU rRNA". It matches the Rfam family "Bacterial small subunit ribosomal RNA", at positions 18 to 507 of the family's 1533-position model. The record is from RNAcentral.